This 567-nucleotide ribosomal RNA is filed under the name uncultured bacterium. Its description in RNAcentral is "partial 16S ribosomal RNA". It matches the Rfam family "Bacterial small subunit ribosomal RNA", at positions 355 to 914 of the family's 1533-position model. The record is from RNAcentral.
UGGGGAAUUUUGGACAAUGGGCGCAAGCCUGAUCCAGCCAUGCCGCGUGCGGGAAGAAGGCCUUCGGGUUGUAAACCGCUUUGUCAGGGAAGAAAUCUUCUGAGUUAAUACCUCGGGAGGAUGACGGUACCUGAAGAAUAAGCACCGGCUAACUACGUGCCAGCAGCCGCGGUAAUACGUAGGGUGCAAGCGUUAAUCGGAAUUACUGGGCGUAAAGCGUGCGCAGGCGGUUUUGUAAGACAGAGGUGAAAUCCCCGGGCUCAACCUGGGAACUGCCUUUGUGACUGCAAGGCUUGAGUGCGGCAGAGGGGGAUGGAAUUCCGCGUGUAGCAGUGAAAUGCGUAGAUAUGCGGAGGAACACCGAUGGCGAAGGCAAUCCCCUGGGCCUGCACUGACGCUCAUGCACGAAAGCGUGGGGAGCAAAACAGGAUUAGAUACCCCUGGUAGUCCACGCCCUAAACGAUGUCAACUGGUUGUUGGGAAGGUUCCUUCUCAGUAACGUAGCUAACGCGUGAAGUUGACCGCCUGGGGAGUACGGCCGCAAGGUUGAAACUUAAAUGAAUUGAC